This 497-nucleotide ribosomal RNA is filed under the name uncultured bacterium. Its description in RNAcentral is "partial 16S ribosomal RNA". It matches the Rfam family "Bacterial small subunit ribosomal RNA", at positions 28 to 507 of the family's 1533-position model. The record is from RNAcentral.
GAUGAACGCUGGCGGCGUGCCUAAUACAUGCAAGUCGAGCGAACAGAUGAGGAGCUUGCUCCUUUGACGUUAGCGGCGGACGGGUGAGUAACACGUAGGUAACCUACCUAUAAGACUGGGAUAACUUCGGGAAACCGGAGCUAAUACCGGAUAAUAUUUCGAACUGCAUGGUUCGAUAGUGAAAGAUGGCUUUGCUAUCACUUAUAGAUGGACCUGCGCCGUAUUAGCUAGUUGGUAAGGUAACGGCUUACCAAGGCAACGAUACGUAGCCGACCUGAGAGGGUGAUCGGCCACACUGGAACUGAGACACGGUCCAGACUCCUACGGGAGGCAGCAGUAGGGAAUCUUCCGCAAAGGGCGAAAGCCUGACGGAGCAACGCCGCGUGAGUGAUGAAGGUCUUCGGAUCGUAAAACUCUGUUAUUAGGGAAGAACAAACGUGUAAGUAACUGUGCACGUCUUGACGGUACCUAAUCAGAAAGCCACGGCUAACUACGUG